Molecule: long non-coding RNA, 1745 nt
Filed under: Volvox carteri
Lineage: Eukaryota; Viridiplantae; Chlorophyta; Chlorophyceae; Chlamydomonadales; Volvocaceae
Description: long non-coding RNA (VCAR_LNC000522)
Source: RNAcentral
UCUCCUUCGCUUCCUCUUCACAUCCAGCGUUUCCUGCUUCAUGAGCUCCAUCCCAGUCAUCACUUGAAUCGCACACUCCAAACCCCUGUAUAACUUUUCAAUACCACAAAAACUUAUGCAACUUAAAUGCCCAAGGCGCCGGUGCCCGGAUAAUAAUUUAUCCAGAUACUUAUUCCUCAUGUGCAAUGCUGCAGGCUGAUAUUGCCAGCUCAGAUCCGCCAUGUAAUCCAUACCGUCUCACUUGAACACAUCAGCAAUAGGAAUCCCGCCUGGGGAGGUGGUGGAGGCGGCAGUGUCGGUGGCAGCGUUGGUGGUUAGCCCUGCUUAAGUUUAGCGCACUUCAUGACCAAAUGCCCCUGCAGCUGCUCCCUUGCAGUGGAAGCACUUGUGGUAAUCAUUGCCUUUCUUGUGCAGCAUCUGCGACACAACAGCGUGUGCCCCUUGACAGACGAUUUCUUGGCCUCAGCCUAAAUCUUCUGUUCUCGAUGAGGCGGUGCAUCGCUAGCUUGUCCACAUUGUCAAUGUUGUCCACAUUCCCUCCAUCAUAGUUCAAUACAUACAGUCCGACCAGGAAUGGAGUUGGGCCGCUGUCGACCCGGCAGAUUCCGUUGGAUGCCGGUGGUGGGUGCGGAACCUGAGCGAUCCACUGAGAAGUUGACUAGGGUGACUGGAUGAGGGUGCCCCGAAAUACCGGGGAAGGCAGGGCUUCGCAGGGUAGCUGCCACAGGUGAAGGUAUACCCCCCUGUUUCACACAUCAUAUAUCCAUGGCCUCCCGGCUUUGACGGACCUCCCUGCUUUCGUGCGGCACUUGUAACUUGUAACGUGGUGCAGAACACCCUAUAUGUCUCUGGCAGGCCCUCCAGGACCUGAUCCACAUGUUCCCCAUAUGGCCAAUAUGAUCAAUAGCCGUGAACGCCAGUCAGACGGUCUGAAACCUCGUGAUGUAGUCGUUGACUUCCUCGUUCAGUUCCAUUUCAAAUCUGAUUAGCCGGUCCGCAAGCAGGGUCUUCACAGCCCAGGUUCGCUGCCCAUAUUCCACCGCUAAAGCAAGCCACAGAUCGCACACCUUUCCGUGCCGUGCAUACAAAGGCUUCUCCAGGACGCGGAUAAAUUCCUUAAUCACGCCCAAAGCGAUUCUGCCUUGCGCGUUGGUUACUUCGUCACGCGUGCGGAGCCUGCGAGGGAUUGAUCGCGUUUGCUAACCCCUUUCGCGGGAGGACGCCGAUAACGUGCUCCUUCCGCACAUGGAAUGUGCUUGCUGUAAAAUCGGAUUGCUCUUCUUGAUCCUUCCUCAUCAUUUGCCAAAAGCUAAAUCCGCACACAGCAGAGAGAGCACCACCGGGCAAAUAAUGGCCGCACAAGUUUGCAAUGUUUUUCGCCUGUAGACCACACCCUCGUAUGCAAGAACUGACGCACUAAAGCGCUGGCCUAAUAACCUGUUGGAGAUAAUAGUCCUUCAGUGAAUACAUCACUCCCUCAUAUCGUUGCACAAGAGGAAAGAACGCUAAAUCAUCAGAACUAUAUGAACUCAUCCCCGCUGAUCCUGAUCUGUUAUCGUACCAGAAUCCAAACAGCCAAACCAAGGUGACAAGCCUGAGAGUCUCUUAGAACGCUUUUCCAACAGCCAACGUCACCUGGUGCCUGCUGCGUGCGACAAGCGACAGGCAACGCACAACAGCAAUGGAUAGACGGAAAAGAUAUUUUAAUCGUCAGCAGCAGUAUGUCAUAAAUAAGUAAUUUCCUG